AUUGCUAUAUAAACGCAAAGACUAAACAACCAGCCACAUAAUCCAACCGACUUCCAAGAUGAAACUGGCUCUCAUUCUUUUCGCUCUUUUGGGCAUGGUGCUGGGUGCCUUCGGGCAGCUGUGUGGCUGCCAGCCCGACCCGAUGGGCCCGCUGUGCGCCAGCGAUGGCAUCACGUAUAACAGCGUGUGCGAGAUGAACUGCAAGACCGCGGGCAGAGGCGUUUACAAGGUCCGCGAUGGAGCCUGCCUGUGAGACAUAGUCAGAUGACACUAUGAUUAAUGAUCCUGAGAUAUUGCUUGAACUAUCAUUUAUUGCCUUCUGAAAAUUUACUUUUCUUGAUUUACUUUUUGAGAUCCAUUCGCUUAUUACUACUUGUUUUAAUGUUUUUUUGAUAUUUACUUACUUUUUUCUCUUUGCGCAAUAAAAUGUUUAUCAC
Molecule: long non-coding RNA, 437 nt
Organism: Cydia strobilella
Lineage: Eukaryota; Metazoa; Arthropoda; Insecta; Lepidoptera; Tortricidae
Exons: 2
Source: RefSeq, a predicted model, not a curated record